This is a long non-coding RNA of Oreochromis aureus, 901 nucleotides long. Lineage: Eukaryota; Metazoa; Chordata; Actinopteri; Cichliformes; Cichlidae. The record is from Ensembl.
GUCUUUUUCCUUACAGAUAAAUGUCGGCUUGAUGACCAUUAAAAGGGUGGUUUGAAGCCAUACCGUGGAAAAACUAUUUUCCUAACAACAGACCCUGACGCUACUGCCACAAGUCUGCUCAAUCAAGCUGUUAAAAAUGAAGGACUUUAACAAAGAUCUAAAAGAUGGACCUUUCCUUCUUCUGUAUCCGGAUGGCACUGAGGUCAUUACUGUCCCUGGAACACAAAGACCAUUUACACUUGAGGCUUAUAAGGCUGAAGUUGGCAAGCCUUAUCAAAGAAUCACUGUUUUCAUCUGCUUGAAGAGUGACUUUGAAGAUGUUGGAGAAAACUCAGACUUGUCUGACUCUGACCCAGAGAUUGUUAUUAAAAGGCCCUCUGAGUUUGAUCUUGCUGAUACACUGGUAAGUACAAUUUAAAAUUUUUUAUAGAGUUUUCUUGUUGUUUAGCCACCACCAUUUGCCUCAGUUCAGUAAAACAGUUAAUAGUUAUAUGUGAAAUACAUUUUGUGUGUGUGUGUGCGUGCUCGCGUGCGUGUGUUUGUUUGUUUGUUUCAGCCAUUGGAACUUCAACAUGAAAGCAGUCCUUUACAGAAAGCGGCAGAAUAUGAGAAGGGUGCUGGGGAUCUUGUGCUUGCUAAUGAAGUACAACAGACACACCAAUUUGCAGGCACAUGGAAUUAUUGCAAAUUUGGCACUGGAACUUGACCACAAGAAGGUCAGCAGGUUCAAUAUAUCAAGGUCAGCUGUAUGGGAUGGAGCUGUUAGAGGAUUUCGACACAGCACAUACUCUGACAACUACGACAUGUUCAUCAAGUUUAAUGAUGAUGCUGGCAGCUUUGAAGAAGGUUUGGAUACAGGUGGCCCGAGGCGUGAAUUCCUCACACUUCUUAUGGGCAGUCU